Molecule: ribosomal RNA, 465 nt
Filed under: Premnobius sp. 5 AIC-2013
Lineage: Eukaryota; Metazoa; Arthropoda; Insecta; Coleoptera; Curculionidae
Description: partial 16S ribosomal RNA
Rfam family: Bacterial large subunit ribosomal RNA
Source: RNAcentral
UUAACAAAAACAUGUCUUUUUGUUAGAAUAGAAAGUCGGGCCUGCCCAGUGAUUUAUUUUAACGGCCGCAGUAUAUUGACUGUGCAAAGGUAGCAUAAUCAUUAGUUUCUUAAUUAGAAGCUGGAAUGAAAGGUUUGAUGAGAAAAUUACUGUCUCAAAUUUAAUUUUUUUGAAUUUUAUUUUUGAGUAAAAAAGCUCAAAUUUUUUAAAAAGACGAGAAGACCCUAUAGAGUUUAAUAUUUUAAGUAAAAAUUUUAUUAGAAUAAAGAUGGGUUUUUAUGUAAGAAGUAUUUGGUUGGGGUGAUUGAAAAAUUUAUAAAACUUUUUUUGUUUAUGAAUAUUUAUUUAUAGAUACUUGAUCCUUUUUUUAAGAUUAAAAGUUUAAAUUACCUUAGGGAUAACAGCGUUAUUUUUUCUGAGAGUUCAAAUUGAAGAAAGAGUUUGCGACCNCGAUGUUGGAUUAAA